RNAcentral lists this ribosomal RNA (845 nucleotides) under uncultured Chloroflexota bacterium. Its description in RNAcentral is "bacterial SSU rRNA". It matches the Rfam family "Bacterial small subunit ribosomal RNA", at positions 28 to 896 of the family's 1533-position model. Lineage: Bacteria; Bacillati; Chloroflexota. The record is from RNAcentral.
GAUAAACGCUGGCGGUGUGCUUUAUGCAUGCAAGUCGAACGCCCCGACUUCGGUCGGGGAGUGGCGGACGGGUGAGUAACACGUAAGUAACCUGCCCUUAAGCGGGGGAUAACUCUGAGAAAUCGGAGCUAAUACCGCAUGUGGACCUUCUCACAAUGGGGAAGGACUAAAGCCUUCGGGCGCUUGAGGAGGGGCUUGCGUACGAUUAGCUAGUUGGUGAGGUAACGGCCUACCAAGGCGACGAUCGUUAGUUGGUUUGAGAGGACGACCAGCCACACUGGGACUGAGACACGGCCCAGACUCCUACGGGAGGCAGCAGCAAGGAAUAUUGGACAAUGGGCGAAAGCCUGAUCCAGCGACACCGCGUGGGGGAAGAAGGCCCUCGGGUUGUAAACCCCUUUUCCCGGGGAAGAAUAAUGACGGUACCCGGGGAAUAAGCCCCGGCUAACUACGUGCCAGCAGCCGCGGUAAUACGUAGGGGGCGAGCGUUAUCCGGAUUUACUGGGCGUAAAGCGGGCGUAGGCGGCCUUUCAAGUCAAAUGUGAAAUCUCCCGGCUUAACUGGGAGGGUGCAUUCGAUACUGAUGGGCUAGAGUGCAACAGAGGGAAGUGGAAUUCCCGGUGUAGUGGUGAAAUGCGUAGAUAUCGGGAAGAACACUAGUGGCGAAGGCGGCUUCCUGGGCUGUAACUGACGCUGAGGUCCGAAGGCGUGGGUAGCAAACAGGAUUAGAUACCCUGGUAGUCCACGCAGUAAACGAUGGAUACUAGGUAUAGGGAGUAUCGACCCUCUCUGUGCCGUAGCUAACGCUUUAAGUAUCCCGCCUGGGGACUACGGUCGCAAGACUA